This 8130-nucleotide long non-coding RNA is filed under the name Solanum lycopersicum (tomato). RNAcentral describes it as "long non-coding RNA (SLYC_LNC001429)". The record is from RNAcentral. Lineage: Eukaryota; Viridiplantae; Streptophyta; Magnoliopsida; Solanales; Solanaceae.
GAGAUUUCAAUAGAUUUAUCUUCUUUAAUGUUCUUCCAAAGGUGAUCUUUCACUUUUUUCCAUUCGUUUAGCCCCUUUUUAUGCGAAAGUAGUCCGCUCAAUACAACAAUUGCAAGAGGUAAGCCUCUACACUUUUCCACCAUAUCCUUAGCUAGACCUUCCAUUUCUGGAACCAUUGCUCGAACAUCAAGUAGUUUCCUGCAAAAGAGAUCCCAACUUUCUUCUUGGCUUAGGAAACGAAGUUUAUGAACAAAACCUCUGUCGUCUGCUCUUUCAGCGACAUCCUCUUUGCGUGUUGUAAUAAUGACUCUGUUGCCAUUCUUGCUAUCUGGGAAUGCUCUUUUCAAACUCUCCCAUGCUUCUUUUUGCCAUACAUCAUCAACCACCACAAGGAAUUUGCGUUCUUUUAAUAGAUCACGAAGAUAAAUUUCUAUAUCUCCUUCCGUCAUCCUCUCCAACAAAUCUAGAGUUUCCAUGGUGCGACCUUGAAUGGAUUUUAUGAUAGUCUUAAGAAGAUCCAUUGUGUUGUACUCUUGAGAAACACAUAUCCAAGCACGUGUAGGGAAACUAGAGGCUAUAUCAGGACAGUUGUAAAGUUUUUUCGCAAGAGUGGUCUUGCCUAAACCCCCCAUUCCAUAAAUGGAGAGGACGGUUCGACUAGGCUCUGGUUUGAGAAGUUGAGCUAGCAAUGUUUGUACAACAUCCUGAAGUCCAACAAAAAUGUAAUCGUGGUCAUCUACAUAUGAGGUAGUUCUCCUCAAUGUUGUAACCUGAUUACUUGGCCCUUCAUCUCCUGAAUUGAUAUUUGUAAUACCAUAAGUAUCUCGCUUGCGAGAUAUAUCUAUGAUUCGCUGCUUGAGUGAUUGAAUCUCCUCUGCCACGUUGUAGAAUUUCUUCUCCUUCCUACAGAUGCAAGCGCAAGCCUUGAGACGACUAUGAAAUUCAUCAUCAUCAUCACCUUUAUCAGCCUCAAAGGCGUAAGUCUCGAGUAUAGCAACAGCAUCAUUAGCGAUACCGUUGAUCUCAAACACCCAUUGUUGAACUCUAUGAUCACCACAUUGCUUUAGUUCUGCAUCUUUGAGGAAAGACUGUAUGAAGAGUAGCUCAUUUCUCAGCCACUCAAAUUCCUUUCUCAGAUUUUUACGCAGCGAAACUUGUUGUAUGAGGAAAUCACCCAAUUUUUGAACUGCAAAUGACAGAAAGGCAUCAGCCAUCUUUAGGAAUAACUAGUUUUGAUUGAAGAAAAGAAAGAAGAGAGAAGGCUGUAUAGUUGAAUACAAGUUGGAAAAUUGGAGAUAAGCAAUAUAUGGACAUAAAAUUAACGUUUUCAAAGGGUCCAUUUAUCACUUAGCAUACCAUUAUUAAAAAAAGGGGAAAAAGGUUUCUCAACUUUACAACUGAUAUAUCCUCGUUAUAAAAGUGGCUCAUAUAUGUCCUUAUCGUUAUACAAACGGCUCACAUAUACCCCUGCCGUUACAAAAUGACUCACAUAUACCCUUCAUUUAACGGAUUUUAAAAAAUUAAUUUUAAAUUUAUAUUUAUUACUUCUAAUUUUUUAAAAAAAAAUAUUUAGGGGUAUAUAUGAUUCUUCUAUCAAAGUUCAAGGUAUAUUUUAAUUUUUUUCAUACAUAAAUUAUUUUUUGACUUCUUUUAUUAUAAUUAUUUGAAUUUCUUAUUCUAUUUUGUUUUUUUCUUUCAUUUCUUAGUUUAAAGAAUAAAAAAUUAAACUAUUUUUUUUGUGUGUAUUGUAAUUUAAUUUCGGAUUCGAAGAAAAAAUUUGAUCAUCUACAAUAAGUUUUACAAGAAUAUUAGUGAAACAAAUAAUAAUUAUAAAUUAGUCAUUGAAACAAAAAAUAUGUUUGACGAGGAUUAAAUUUAUUCAUAUGUGAUUAUAUUUUUUAGAAAAAAAUAAUAAAAAUUUAGAUUAAAAUUAUUAUUUUUUUCAUUUCCGUUAGAUAAAAAGGAUAUAUAUGAGUCAUUUGUUUAUAAGUAGGGGUAUAUAUGAGUCACUUUCAUAACAAGGGGUAUAUCAGCUCUAAAUGACAAAGUUGAGGGGUAUAUUAAACCCUUUUCCCUUAAAAAAAAAAGAUGUAUUAAAGCUUUUUGAAAUUCCCACUAAAACGAAAGGUACUUUUUUUUUAAAUUAAAGCAUCUUCAACAACCAUUACAUAACUUAAUUAUCGAAAAACAUAUAUACAGAAAAGCCUUAAAAAGUUAAAGCAACUUCAACGAUCAUUCCACAACUUGUGGAAAAAUAUAUACGGAGAAAGGAUUAAAAAGAUUAAAGCAUCUUCGACAAUCAUUACAUAACUUGUGGAAAAAAAAUAUAUAGGUGGAAUGACCUGGAAUUCUUGUACUUGACUCCGUUGUAAAUUGGACGUCUCUGAUACAAACGAUUUUGGCAACUGAACUCUUAAACUUAGUGAAAUAAUGUUGAUAUAAAGAGUAGGAAAAUUGAGAAUUGGCAUUGUAAGAUUAUAGGCUUAAGUCAUCGACAGAAAAGCAAGUUUGAAUCUACCAAAAGAAGUUUGUAUUUUUAAUUUGGUUUAUUUGACAAAAGAUAAAAUUUAUGUUGAGAGUAACAAAAAAAAAUUACCCUUUCGUCUACUUUCUCAAACACUUGUAAGGUUUCCAUAAGUAUUGGGGACGAAAAGUGCAUUAAACUGUUAUAAAAGCCUUUACAAAGUAUGCUCUACAUUUGGCCUCUACUGAAUAAGCAUAGUCUCUUCGUCUUUUCUACUAAACUAUUAAUGAACUCUUUCUCCUUGCAUUUCGAGAGAAAGUCGUAAAGGCUCAACUUCUUUAUCGAGUCUCCCAGCUUUAAAAUAGAUGGACAGGUCCCCCAAAAUCAAGAAAUACGGAGCAAUUGAAGAGUUGAAGAAUUCGGGGCCAUUAGGAGUCAAAAAAUUUUUAUAAGUCAUGUGUUUUGUUGUCAUUUGGGCAUACAAGUACAGGUGAAGUGGGUCAAAACCCAAAAGACAAAUGGGCCAAAAAUCCUAAACAGGUGGGUCCGAAAUUUCGGUCAAGAUGGACAAAAACCCGGAUUUGAACCCAAAUCUCUCUCCCUCUCUCUUUAUAUCCUCUUAAUUAUCUGUUUUUAUUUGUCUUUAGUUUAAAGUUAGAAAACUCCAAAUCCCCCUCGAACGCCAUAAUGUUUUAGCAACUUAAAAUUAACCAAGUUUAAAUAGUUUUAAAAAAUAUUUUUCAAUUUAUAAGUUUCGCUUAGAUAAAAAACUAAGAAACUCACUUUCAAACAAUUUCCAAUAAAUUUUAUAAGUUAGUUAUUUUAGCCAAAUGAGUUAGUUGUCGGAUAAUCACAAGUUAGCGGACGUCUGAGGUGCUUUCAAAACCUUACUAAGAUGCUCAUAGGAAUCCCCGAACCCCCCUAAAAUGUUUUCAAUUGAUUUUUCUGUUUAAGUCUUUUUGAAAACAUUCUUGAUUUUUCUCAAAAAUUAAGGGGCGACUUUAGAAAAAUCGAAAAAACAUACAAAAUAAAUGUUUUUCCUUCUCCAGCAUUAGUAGUAUUGAUAUUUGGGAAAAGGGUCUGAUAUACCCCUCAACUUUGUCAUUUGGAGCUGAUAUACCCCUCGUUAUAAAAGUGGCUCAUAUAUGCCCUUACCGUUAUAUAAACGGCUCACAUAUACCCCUGUCGUUACACAAUGACUCACAUAUACCCUUCAUUUAACGGAAGUUAAAAAAAUUAAUUUUAAAUUUAUAUUUAUUACUUCUAAUUUUUUUAAAAAAAUUAUAUAUAUGAUUCUUCUAUCAAAGUUCAAGGUAUAUUUUAAUUUUUUUCGUACAUAAAUUAUUUUUUGACUUCUUUUAUUAUAAUUAUUUGAAUUUCUUAUUUUUAUUUUAUUUUUUUCUUUCAUUCCUUAGUUUAAAGAAUAAAAAAUUAAACUAUUUUUUUGUGUGUAUUGUAAUUUAAUUUCGUAUUCGAAGAAAAAAUUUGGUCAUGUACAAUAAGUUUUACAAGAAUAUUAGUGAAACAUAAAUAAAUUUGAUUAUCAAAAUAAUAAUUAUAAAUUAGUCAUUGAAACAAAAAAAAGUCAAAAAAAUAUGUUUGACGAGGAUUAAAUUUACUAAUAUGAGAUUAUAUUUUUUAGAAAAAAAUAAUAAAUUUUAGAUUAAAAUUAUUAUUUUUUUCAUUUCUGUUAGAGGAAAAGUGUAUAUGUGAGCCAUUUGUUUACAAGUAGGGGUAUAUAUGAGCCACUUUCAUUACAAGGGGUAUAUCAGCUCAAAAUCACAAAAUUGAGGGGUAUAUCAGACCCUUUUCCCUUGAUAUUUUAUGAUAGAUCUCCUUCUGUCAUCCUUUCCAACAAAUCUAGAGUUCCCAUGGUGCGACCUUGAAUGGAUUUUAUGAUAGUCUUAAGAAGAUCCAUUGUGUUGUACUCUUGAGAAACACAUAUCCAAGCGCGUGUAGGGGCUAUAUUAGGACUGGUGUAAAGAUUUUUCGCAAGAGUGGUCUUGCCUAAACCCCCCAUUCCAUAAUGGAGAGAACGGUGAAGACCAACAAAAAUAUAAUCGUGGUCAUCGACAAAUGAGGUAGUUCGCCUCAAUGUUGUAACCUGAUUACUUGGCCCUUCAUCUCCUGAAAUGAUAUUUGUAAUACCAUAAGUCUCUCGUUUGCGAGAGAUAUCCAUGAUUUGUUUCUUGAGUGAUUUGAUCUCCUUGGCGACAUUGUAGAAUUUUUUCUUUUCCUUGCUACAUAUGCAGGCGCAAGCCUUGAGACGACUAGGACGACGUUUACCAGCCUCGAAGCUAUAAGUUUCGAGUAUAGCAACAGCAUCAUUAGCAGUAGAGUUGAUCUCAAACACCCAUUGUUGAACUCUUUGAUGCUUUUGUUCUGAAAGAGUGCAUGAAGAGAAGCUCGUUUCUCAGCCACUGUAUAUCUUCUCUUAGACUUAAACGUAGGUUAAUUUCCUGUAUUAGGAAAUCACCCAAAUUUUUUAUAUUACUUUUUGCCUGUACUUUUGUCAAAUCAAUCAAAUUACUAAUGUAUACUUGACGGGAAAAAAAUAAAAUCUAGUUAUCAAUUUGAAAAAUAUGAAUUUAGAACUCUAGUAACUUAAAAAGACUAAAAUCGCCGAGUGUUUAAAUACAAGAGAGAAAUGCUUUUAUUUGUUCUCUUUCGUAUGGGAUUCUUUUUCCUUUUUGUCCAAUCCGUUUUCAACCCGCUCAUGUUCAAUCCAACCUGCCCAUUUUAAGUCGCCGUACAAGACCUUGACUCAGCUGCCUCUUUUAGUCGGAUACUUAUGGAAGUUGCAUGGCCUCCUCUGAUGGAUUCUUUUCCCUUGCUUCUUGACCUUCAAGCUUCGAUGAGUUAGCGAUGGCUUCUGAUACAGCCUUUGGUAGCCAAAAUCCAGGUCUUUCAAUAGAGGCUGCACGAUCAAGUACCAAUGGUUCACGCAAUGUGAUCUGAAUGCCAUCAUAUGUCCACAUGACAAAAUCUGCUUCGCCUUUCAAACCUAGGGAGAACCAUCCUAAGCCAGCAACUGCAACAUCCAUGCUCUUGACAUCCCAGCUCGUUCCACGUGCUUUUACUUCCCUCUUUUAUUCCAUUGUCUCAACUCAGAAACUCGCUCCAUGGAAAUGGGAGGCUGAAGAUCAACAAAUGAAAACAGAACAAUUAGCAUGGUUCUGUGUUCUUUCCGAUUGUUUUCCUUUAAACUUGAGUAAAUUGAAACCAUCUAAGAGCCAUCGAUAAACCAGAACAAUUAGGAUUUGUUUACACAUACAACACUAUGACAUCUGCUAUCAGGCUAACAUGGAACAUGGAUUUGUUUUUGCAACUACGGCUUCUCAUUAGCAAAUAAUACACAUUGAUCUUCAACCAAAAACAUACUGAUACAGUUCGAAUGGAAUUGGCUAUAAAGUAGGAAAUAAUAUUGAAUCAGAAAUACUGCAAAGAAUUGGAGUAUUACCUGCAAUCACACUCCAGUAUGGUUGUUCUUGAGCUCAUCGGCAUUUCCUCUCUUCCCUAGAUGAAGAGGCGACACACUUGGUGAUGCCCAGACGGUGACAUAGAUUGUUUCUACUGAGGCAAAAACUAGAUCGAGUCUAACUAUGCCCCCAAUAUGUACAGUCUGCCCACGUGCAAGAAAAUUGUGAAAAUACAUUUUAGAGUCGAAAAGUACUUUUUGAUCUCAGGCAAGAAAUUGAGUUGCAGUCAUGUAUAUCUUUUAACUGCAAUAUAAAACUAAAAAAAAAAAAAAAAAACAGAUACAGAUGAGGGACGAAUAAAAGGAGUUAUCUGAAUCCCAAACCAUUUGAUAAGAGGUCAGUUUACAAUGAUUUAAGGUCAUUUUGUCAAAUUUCUCUCCAUUUCGAAGUUCACAGCACCUCGCACUGGCUUCAUCAAUAUGCAUCACAGGAUUCUUCAAAGUAAAGUGAAGUAAGCCUUCAGUUAAGAGGAAACUAAAAAAUACAAACAACUAUCUUCAAACCAAUUACGCUCACUCAAAAAGCUUAAAACAAUAAGAAAUCAAACACUAAGACCUUUAAGUGCUUGGCAGAAACGCCCCCCAUCAAUACCUUUAAGAUUAUGAAGAGGCCAAAAUAAGACAUCAUAUACACUUGAAAAGCUUCACAACGUAUAGUUCCUCUUCAACAGCUCCACGUUUUUCAUUCUCUCAGGAAUCUCCUUUAAAUUUGGACAGUCAUGGAUACGAAGACCUUUAAUCAGAGGCAUGGCACUUGUACCUAAAUGCCAUGUUUCUAGGUUCUCGAGAUCAUAAAGAAUAAGGAACUCUAGUUGACUGAAGCUGUUAUCACUGCACAUUAUUUCUUUUCCUUCAUAAGCUCUAAACAAAUCGAGAUUCCUUAGGUUGGGCAACAUUCCCAAAAUAGGCAUCGGAUCUUCUUUCAGUACGGAGAACCUCAGAACCAUCAUUGUGAUGGAACUUAGAAACAGAUUAGGCAGUUUCUCUAUUCUCCCUUCUAACCACAAUUUCUGGAGCUUUUGACAAGAAUUAACAAAUUCAAGAGAUGGGAAUGAUUCAUCAUAAUUUUUACACACCAAUGUGAGAGUGCUAAGGUUUUUCAAGCUGCUAAUGUUGUUUAGGGAGUAAGAUCUCUUAAUAUAAGCCAUGCCUAAUUCUCUAACAUUGACUAAAUCAACAGGGUCAACGUAUUUCCAUUGAUCACAACCAACACCUUUAAGAACUUGAAGACUAGUAAGUUUGCUUAUAUGCACCAGAGGUUCUGAAUACUGAGCAACUAAAUGUCUUAAAUUUAUUAGGUCAGCUGUCUUGCGGGGUAGUUGGAAAGUGUAAUCCGCUUCAUUGACAACAAGUGUCUGUAGAUUCUUGAGGUUGCCAAUGGAAGACGGAAGCUCAUCGAUACCUCUCAAGCUUAAGAACUUGAGGUGGUACAAACUCCCAAUGGAUCCAGGUACAACACCACCAUAUUUAAUAUUCAAGUACAACACAUAUAGAUGUCGAAACAUAUCUAUAUGUUGGAACACAUUACGAAAAUGUGGAUCGAAGACCAUAAUUGACCUCAACUUUAAGUUAGAAAGAUCAAGUGAGGGGUACCUUUGUCCUUGACUAUGAAUGACAUGUCGGAUACAUACAGAGGAUAUGGAGUGGCUUGUUGGAUCAUAAACGUCAAAGAAGUUUACCUCCAAUGCCUUUUGUAUCGCAAGAUCAUGGAGUAAAUCAUGAACCCUACAUUCAGUAACUUUUUCCCAAAAUGUAUUAGCCACUUGAACCAAGCUUCGUCUUAUCAGCUCAUUCAAGAAGCUUUCAGCGACAUCCUCCAUUCUUUCUCCUCUGGGUAUGAAACCCUCUGCCAUCCACAACCGUAUUAUGUUAUCAGCCUCGACCACUUGAUCUUCUGGAAAAAUACCAAAGUAGAGAAAACACUGCUUGAGCGCAGUUGACAAAUCAUUGUAGCUUAAUGAUAGUAUGUUAGAGAUUUCAAUAGAUUUAUCUUCUUUAAUGUUCUUCCAAAGGUGAUCUUUCACCUUUUGCCAUUCGUUUAGCCCCUUUUUAUGCGAAAGUAGUCCGCUCAAUACAACAACUGCAAGAGGUAAGCCUCUACACUUUUCCACCAUAUCCUUAGCUAGACUUUCCAUUUCUGGAACCAUUGCUCGAAUAUCAAGUAGUUUCCUAAGAAAGAGAUCCCAAC